UACGUAGGGGGCAAGCGUUGUCCGGAUUUAUUGGGCGUAAAGAGCGUGUAGGCGGCCAGGUAGGUCGGUUGUGAAAGCUGGAGGCUCAACCUUCAGAGGUCGACCGAAACCAUCUGGCUAGAGUCCGGGAGAGGAGAGUGGAAUUCCUGGUGUAGCGGUGAAAUGCGCAGAUAUCAGGAAGAACACCCGUGGCGAAAGCGGCUCUCUGGAACGGUACUGACGCUGAGACGCGAAAGCGUGGGGAGCGCACAGG
RNAcentral lists this ribosomal RNA (253 nucleotides) under uncultured bacterium. RNAcentral's name for it is "partial 16S ribosomal RNA". It matches the Rfam family "Bacterial small subunit ribosomal RNA", at positions 524 to 776 of the family's 1533-position model. The record is from RNAcentral.